GGACGAACGCUGGCGGCGUGCUUAACACAUGCAAGUCGAGCGGUAAGGCCCUUUCGGGGGUACGACGAGCGGCGAACGGGUGAGUAACACGUGGGUGACCUGCCCUCAGCUCUGGGAUAAGCCUGGGAAACCGGGUCUAAUACUGGAUAUGACUCCAUGACGCAUGUUGUGGGGUGGAAAGCCUUGUGCGGCUGAGGAUGGGCCCGCGGCCUAUCAGCUUGUUGGUGGGGUGANGGCCUACCAAGGCGACGACGGGUAGCCGGCCUGAGAGGGCGACCGGCACACUGGGACUGAGACACGGCCCAGACUCC
Molecule: ribosomal RNA, 311 nt
Filed under: uncultured bacterium
Lineage: Bacteria
Description: bacterial SSU rRNA
Rfam family: Bacterial small subunit ribosomal RNA
Source: RNAcentral